Long non-coding RNA from Lagenorhynchus albirostris (white-beaked dolphin), 2421 nucleotides. RefSeq lists it as uncharacterized. Lineage: Eukaryota; Metazoa; Chordata; Mammalia; Artiodactyla; Delphinidae. The record is from RefSeq and is a predicted model, not a curated record. The transcript has 3 exons.
CGUGUUUUCAAGUUGGGUGACGUUGUCCCACAGCAGCGCCACAGCCUCGGAAGUCAGAUGCGGCCGCCGCACGCAGCUCGCGAACUGGGGGCCGCCCGAGGUGUCCACAAUCUGGCAGCGGCGCAAGAGUGGGCAAGCUAUCAGACCUUCUUGAAGUGGAACCCUCCUGCUUGCAGGCAGCCCUCAGGCCGGGGGUGUCUCACCAUUUGCAGAGCUUCCAGCCCGACCCCCUUACCUGAGCGCCGCCGCCCUGCGCUCCCCGCGGCCCGAGCGAUAGUUGUGCAGAGCCCCCUGGAUGUCCUCUCGGAUCAGCUCCGCCUGUCAAUCACGCCGUCAGGCCACGACCGCAACCCACCCACUGCCCGCCCAGGCGGCUCUCCGAAUCGAUUCCUCAGCUCGGCCCCAGACCACGUCCAGUCAUAGCUCACGCACUGCGCCCACGCACGUCCACGCCCUGAACUCACACCCCGCCUCUUAAACUGUCCCUGCCUUAGGCCCCUCCCCCAACCACGAAGGCCCCGUCCAGAUGGCGCUUCGCCCCUGACCACACUCACUCCCAUCCUAGUUCUGGCUGCUCCCCCAGACCCUCACUUCCAUGUUCUGUCCACGUUCUGUCCGAGCUCUUAGCUCUUAGCCUCCGUCUCCAUUCGGCCCUCUCGUUCCUUCUCGACCCUACGUUCAAUCUGUUCUCAAAUCCCCCUCCCUCCCAGAAUUCCUUUACAGGUCACGCCCCCUCCGCUGGCCCUGACCCCGCCUUUGCCGUACACCGUGCCCCCCGUCUUAGAGGCCCCGCCCCGUUGGGGGUCCGGCUCCGGACUCCGCCCAGUUUCAGCUCCGCGCCGGGAAUCCGCAGGGUCUCAGUCUGUGGCCCCGACCCCCGCUCGCUCACCCCCAGACGCAGGCCCUGGAAGAAGUGCACGUCGGGCUGCGUGCGCUCGGGCUCCUGGCACACGAGCAGCAGCAGUGAGCAGCUCUGGCCCGGCGCUAUCACCGUGUCGCAACGCACGAUGGCGCUCAGCGCGCAGAAGGUCACCAGGUGCUGGAGAAAGCAGUGAGUCCCAGGAUGAAGCCAGGUGGGCUGAGAAGCCCCUGGAAUCAGCCUUAUAGCCUGAGACUACGCACACCUCCUCUGGGAAGCCUUCUCUGAUCACCUGCUCCACCUCCUCCCGGUGCCCUUUGUGUGUCUUCCCUGGGUCUAGCUCUCCAGCUAGACCCCUUGAAGGCAGAGAAUGGUCUGGAUUAUAUCUAGUUCCUUCUAAGCAGCUCUACCUCCGUUAGAGCACCUGGCAAUUUUGCUGGUACCUCUGGACCUUGUCUGACCCCUACUCAUCCAGGAUUGCAUCUGACUUGUCCCUGUGGUCCAACUAUCCAGCACAGGAGCUGGUCCAGAGGAAAAGUUGGCAGAUUCAAGUGCAACUGAGUUCCUCCACUGGAUACCCACAUCUGAGGCAAGGCAGAAGAAGUCCACUUUGCAGAUGAGCUAACUGAGUUUCCCAAGUUCUUGCUGCUUGGAGGUCCAACUGCUUUCAACUCCCCCAUCUCCUCAGGCCUGCCUUGCCUCCUGCAAGACUCCCCGUGGCAACACAGACCCCAGACUCACAUUGACUGGAUAUUGGGAAACGUCGGCCAUAACCUCGGUGGAGUAACGCUUCCUCUGUUCUGUGGGGGGAGGAGGAGAAUGGCUGCAGGAGACCCAGCUCCCAGCCCCUUCCCCCUCAGACUCAGGAGUCCAGCCCCCCAGCCCCCUCCCCUCCAGACCCAGGAGUCCAGACUCCCAGCCCCUCCUCCCUCAGAAAAGGAGUCCAGACCCCCAAACCCUUCCCCCAUCAGAUCCAGGAGUUCGGGUCCUCAGUUACCUCCUCCCCCAGACCUAGUUUCUCUUGGCCUGGGGCUUCCUUGCCCCUCAACUCACCAUAGAUAGACUUGGCACUCCGUUUAGGAGAAGCUUCUGGACUAGUGAAGGAAAAGAGGGGUGAGAGGGGCCAUGGGAAUUGGGGGCAGAUCAUGGGAGUUUUGAGUGCCCAGCAGAGCUUGUGAGGGCGGUGGGGAGCCAUGGAGGGUUUUGAGCAGGGGAGGGCAGGGCCAGAGCUGGACUUCAACGAGACAAGUAUGGCAGUGGUACUGGCUCGUGGUGGCGAGUGUGGUCUCUACUGUCACCCAGACCUGAGUUCAAAUCCCCUGUCAGCUACUGCUUUGUCAUAAGACCCCGGGUGGGAGACGAUCUCUCCUGCUUCAGUUUCCCUUUCCAUAAGACAGGGGUUAGUUACCCUAUAGUGUCUGUCUCGUAGGUCUGUUGGGCGAAUUCAAUGAGAUGAUGCAGUUGGAAUGUUGUGCAGCCUUAGUAACUGUUAUUAUCAUUAUUAAGAUGAUGCAAAGGGCUUAACACACAGUAGUUGCUCAAUAAAUGGGAUUUUUUUUUUC